This is a long non-coding RNA of Rhea pennata, 2073 nucleotides long. RefSeq lists it as uncharacterized. Lineage: Eukaryota; Metazoa; Chordata; Aves; Rheiformes; Rheidae. The transcript is spliced from 9 exons. The record is from RefSeq and is a predicted model, not a curated record.
GCUGGAGCGAGGAAGGCAGAUCUUAAAACCGCCAUACGAAUGAGAGCUGGACAAGUGCUGAAGCGUAGCAAGUUCACAUACAGGUGUGCUUCUGGACUGAUUCCUUCAGCACUGCCAUUCCAAAGGAGUUUGAAGUUGGGUCUCCUUUCAUAGGAGCUGCUACACAGGAGUUGAUCCUCUGGUCAUGUGUCAUGUCGUCAGGACCUGAUCCAGCUAGAAUCUGAGAGAAGAUGUCUGUGAGAGAGUUGCGCUGGAGAUUGAUUAGCCUAAAAGAAGAAUUGUGGGACCUGGCCCUUCCUUGGUAUUAUUCAAUAUAGACGUGAACAUGCAUCACUUCAACACCUGAUCCCUACUGCUACGAGAAGAAGGGCUUUAUGUCCACCAAGUACUGCUCCCACAUGGGCUUGACUGUCUUGAUGGUUACAGAGCCUGGAAAAACUCAUUUUGACUUUACCAGGACCAGGAUUUCAUCCACAUCUUUUGGAUUUCCUAUGAAGAAAGGCUGUUGAAUAGGGCUCCAUUCCGUGGGCUUCAAAUCACCAACGGGGAGACUACUACAAUUUCAACUACAAUAGUCUGAUGGAUAAAUCCCUUAUCCCAUCCUGUUUGCUUAAUCCAGGAUUCUGAAAAAUGUUCACGUAUCAGAAAAGAUGUUGCAUCAGUGCAAGUCCAGAAACAAAUGACACUAGCUAUGGAUUCGCAUCAGCCUCAGUAGGAUCCACGUGGAGUCGGCUGUGAGCCAGUUGUGACCACCACGGUUGCAAGACCUUGCGUGAGUGGGAAGUGGACUCUGCACAAGGAGAUCUGCACAAUGCAAAUGUUGUCCUGAUGUGCCACGAUUGAAAAGAUCUCAGCACCUAGACAGAUCAAUGUGCAUCGAGCAAUUCACAGCUGCACCGAUAACUCUCAGCCAAAAGACACUGCUUUAGGAUUCAAACAGCACAGAAGAGUCAGCUGGUCUGGUCCCACAGCACCCACCAGAUUGCUAAGAGGAAAACUGCCAGGACGGCAAAGUCACUCUUAGCUAGAAACUAUUUUCUUCUAACAUGAUCCAGCUGAAUGCAAACCUGUGUUUGUUUUAAAAUAGUUUGCCUUGACACAUACUUAACACUGGCUUUGUGUGUCCUGGAACUGGUUCCAGUAAUUUAUUUCUGCGUUGUUGCUGACUGUCUCAAUUCCAAGACACAUCCCUCUGUGAAUGCAUGCGUCGUAUCGUGCUUCGCUCUGCCUGUAAGCAAGACCAUGAGCAGCCAUUUCUCAGCUGAAGUGUACGCAACUGCAUUUGUCAGUCUUCUGUGUCAUCUUUAGUCUUUCUGAACAAGAUAACAGAGAUUAUCAAACAAAAAAAAAAAAAAAACACUUGGGAGGCUUGUAAGAUCCAUCAGGUCUUUCAGUGAAGAUACAUAUGUCAGAAAGGAAGCAUCUUUCUGUAAGCGCUUGCUUUGAGGUUGAUGGUGAAGAGAUGGUAUAUUGGAGUUGCGGCUGUGAUGAACAUUCCCACUUGUGGCCAUGCCUGGUGAAGCAAGAGUUGUUCAUGUUUGAACACAUGCAUUUAGAAGCACUAGGAGUGCUCCCCUGCCUUUUAAAAACCUACUUGGCAAGAUUUGUGUGCUAAUAAAUGUUAUGCAUGAUAACAACAUUUAAAAUGUAUUAUCCAAAGCCAGAGCUACAAUUUAAUUUCUGAAGAAAUAAUAAUUUACCUAAACCCAGAACAUGGACCUAAAGCAUCUGCCUAGCUUGCUGUGGGAAGAGGACAAGGCCAUUGCUCUUAUGGCACCAUUUCCCGUUCCUCACUGAAAUGCGUCACCGAAGGACCAGGAAGAAGAGGAGACUGUGAAGCACGCGCUGCUUCUCAGCUGAUGAGAAGGAUCGCAGACCUUGUGCGCAGACCUUGCCUGGCUUUGUAUGGGUAUGGGCCUGACUGACCAUAGAUCUAAUCAGACUGUACCUGUCAGGCAUGUGUAAAAUAAGGCAAAGUUGGCUGUGUAUAAAGACUUUACAUAUUCAUCCAAAGAAUGGGUGCACUUAAUGUGUGACUAUAUGCUGGUGCGGCUUGAUCUAUCUGAUUAAUAA